Molecule: ribosomal RNA, 493 nt
Filed under: uncultured bacterium
Lineage: Bacteria
Description: bacterial SSU rRNA
Rfam family: Bacterial small subunit ribosomal RNA
Source: RNAcentral
UGAACGCUAGCGACAGGCUAACACAUGCAAGUCAGGGGGCAGCAUAAAAGUAGCAUACUUGGUGGCGACCGGCGCACGGGUGAGUAACGCGUAUGCAAACCUACCUAUCAGAGGGGAAUAACCCGGCGAAAGUCGGACUAAUACCGCAUAAAACAGGGACACCGCAUGGUGAUAUUGUUAAAGAAAUUCGCUGAUAGAUGGGCAUGCGUUCCAUUAGGUAAUUGGUGAGGUAACGGCUCACCAAGCCGACGAUGGAUAGGGGAACUGAGAGGUUGGUCCCCCACACUGGUACUGAGACACGGACCAGACUCCUACGGGAGGCAGCAGUGAGGAAUAUUGGUCAAUGGGCGAGAGCCUGAACCAGCCAAGUCGCGUGAAGGAAGAAGGAUCUAUGGUUCGUAAACUUCUUUUGCAGGGGAAUAAAGUGCAGGACGUGUCCUGUUUUGUAUGUACCCUGAGAAUAAGGAUCGGCUAACUCCGUGCCAGCCGCCGC